This 254-nucleotide ribosomal RNA is filed under the name uncultured bacterium. Its description in RNAcentral is "partial 16S ribosomal RNA". It matches the Rfam family "Bacterial small subunit ribosomal RNA", at positions 524 to 776 of the family's 1533-position model. The record is from RNAcentral.
UACGGGGGGGGGCAAGCGUUGUUCGGGAUUACUGGGCGUAAAGGGCUCGUAGGUGGCCAACUAAGUCAGACGUGAAAUCCCUCAGCUUAACUGGGGAACUGCGUCUGAUACUGGAUGGCUUGAGUUUGGGAGAGGGAUGCGGAAUUCCAGGUGUAGCGGUGAAAUGCGUAGAUAUCUGGAGGAACACCGGUGGCGAAGGCGGCAUCCUGGACCAACACUGACACUGAGGAGCGAAAGCCAGGGGAGCAAACGGG